RNAcentral lists this transfer RNA (73 nucleotides) under Ixodes scapularis (black-legged tick). Its description in RNAcentral is "tRNA-Phe for anticodon GAA". The record is from RNAcentral. Lineage: Eukaryota; Metazoa; Arthropoda; Arachnida; Ixodida; Ixodidae.
UCCUCGUUAGGCCAGUUGGUAGAGUGCUCCACUGAAAAUGGAGAGGUCCCGGGUUCCAUGCCAGGACCAGGCG